GGGUAACCUACCCUAUGCUGGGGGAUAAGCUCGGGAAACUGAGAAUAAUACCCCAUAGUCCACUACGCCUGGAACGGUGAGUGGAUCAAAGCUCCGGCGGCAUAGGAUGGGCCUGCGGCGUAUCAGGUUGUAGGGGGUGUAACGUACCCUCUAGCCAUCCACGCGUACGGGUGUUGGGAGACAUUGCCCGGAGAUGGAUUCUGAGACACGAAUCCAGACCCUACGGGGUGCAGCAGGCGCGAAAACUUGGCAAUGCGAGAAAUCGUGACCAGGGAACUCCAAGUGGCAGGGGUAAGACCCUGUCUUUUUCCGACUCUAAAUAGGUCGGCGAAUAAGGGGUGGGUAAGGACGGUGCCAGCCGCCGCGGUAAUACCGGCGCCUCAAGUGGUAGUCGCUUUUAUUGGGCCUAAAACGUCCGUAGCCGGUCUGAUACAUUCGUGGGUAAAUCAACCAGCUCAACUGGUUGAAUUCUGCGAGGACGGUCAGACUUGGGACCGGGAGAGGUGUGGGGUACGCUCAGGGUAGGGGUAAAAUCCUGUCAUCCUGAGCGGACCACCUGUUGCGAAGGCGCCACACUAGAACGGAUCCGACGGUCAGGGACGAAGCCUAGGGGCACGAACCGGAUUAGAUACCCGGGUAGUCCUAGGUGUAAACGCUGUGGACUUGAUGUUGGGGGUGCUCCGAGCACUCUCAGUGUC
This 698-nucleotide ribosomal RNA is filed under the name uncultured marine archaeon. RNAcentral describes it as "bacterial SSU rRNA". It matches the Rfam family "Archaeal small subunit ribosomal RNA", at positions 102 to 802 of the family's 1478-position model. The record is from RNAcentral.